Molecule: transfer RNA, 81 nt
Filed under: Vibrio anguillarum
Lineage: Bacteria; Pseudomonadati; Pseudomonadota; Gammaproteobacteria; Vibrionales; Vibrionaceae
Description: tRNA-Arg
Rfam family: tRNA (bases 6-68)
About the family: Transfer RNA (tRNA) molecules are approximately 80 nucleotides in length. Their secondary structure includes four short double-helical elements and three loops (D, anti-codon, and T loops). Further hydrogen bonds mediate the characteristic L-shaped molecular structure. tRNAs have two regions of fundamental functional importance: the anti-codon, which is responsible for specific mRNA codon recognition, and the 3' end, to which the tRNAs corresponding amino acid is attached (by aminoacyl-tRNA synthetases). tRNAs cope with the degeneracy of the genetic code in two manners: having more than one tRNA (with a specific anti-codon) for a particular amino acid; and 'wobble' base-pairing, i.e. permitting non-standard base-pairing at the 3rd anti-codon position.
Source: RNAcentral
GCGCUCAUAGCUCAGCUGGAUAGAGUACCUGGCUACGAACCAGGCGGUCGGAGGUUCGAAUCCUCCUGNNNNAGCGCGCCA